This 69-nucleotide transfer RNA is filed under the name Pselaphinae sp. 6 EF-2015. RNAcentral describes it as "tRNA-Pro". The record is from RNAcentral. Lineage: Eukaryota; Metazoa; Arthropoda; Insecta; Coleoptera; Staphylinidae.
CAGAGAAUAGUUUAAUUAAAAUUUUAAUUUUGGAGAUUAAGGAUAAACUGUAUUAAUAUUUUUCUCUGA